This 433-nucleotide ribosomal RNA is filed under the name uncultured bacterium. RNAcentral describes it as "partial 16S ribosomal RNA". It matches the Rfam family "Bacterial small subunit ribosomal RNA", at positions 29 to 507 of the family's 1533-position model. The record is from RNAcentral.
AACGAACGCUGGCGGCAUGCCUAACACAUGCAAGUCGAACGAGACCUUCGGGUCUAGUGGCGCACGGGUGCGUAACGCGUGGGAACCUGCCCUUAGGUUCGGAAUAACUCCCCGAAAGGGGUGCUAAUACCGGAUAAUGUCUUCGGACCAAAGAUUUAUCGCCUUUGGAUGGGCCCGCGUUGGAUUAGCUAGUUGGUAGGGUAAAAGCCUACCAAGGCGACGAUGCAUAGCUGGUCUGAGAGGAUGAUCAGCCACACUGGGACUGAGACACGGCCCAGACUCCUACGGGAGGCAGCAGUGGGGAAUAUUGGACAAUGAGCGAAGGCCUGAUCCAGCAAUGCCGCGUGAGUGAUGAAGGCCUUAGGGUUGUAAAGCUCUUUUACCCGGGAUGAUAAUGACAGUACCGGGAGAAUAAGCUCCGGCUAACUCCGUG